GUGAAUCAUCGAAUUUUUGAACGCAAAUUGCACUCUUUUCGGAGAGUGUGCCUGUUUGUGGGUCAGAAUAUAUAAAUUCGUCAUCGUUGUUGUUUCGCGGUGGUAUUCGUCGGAUAUUGGGUCAUCUUAUAUCUUUUGUUUUUAAGCGACUUAAAAUUUUCUUUUUGGUUCCAUGAACGUUUCUAAGAUUUAUUUCUUUACACGUUUAAGGUAUCGAUUUUUAUUAGGCGUGACCUUCAUAUCUGAUCGCGCUCAUAAUCUUUUAUUA
This 268-nucleotide unclassified non-coding RNA is filed under the name Glomeraceae sp. RNAcentral describes it as "partial contains 5.8S ribosomal RNA and internal transcribed spacer 2". The stretch from base 1 to 65 matches the Rfam family "5.8S ribosomal RNA", at positions 84 to 154 of the family's 154-position model. Lineage: Eukaryota; Fungi; Glomeromycota; Glomeromycetes; Glomerales; Glomeraceae. The record is from RNAcentral.